GUUUAGUUGUGUGGGUGUUCAGCACCAAGGACAGGUAUGUUAGCGUAUGGGUGAAUGGUGUUCAGCACCAAAGACAGGAUUAUUUACCU
This 89-nucleotide microRNA precursor is filed under the name Branchiostoma floridae (Florida lancelet). RNAcentral describes it as "mir-2060 microRNA precursor family". It matches the Rfam family "mir-2060 microRNA precursor family". The record is from Rfam by way of RNAcentral. Lineage: Eukaryota; Metazoa; Chordata; Leptocardii; Amphioxiformes; Branchiostomatidae.